AUGACCCAGAAGACGCCAUCGACAGCCAGGUUGGAGUCGACCCACGUCUCUGACGGCUUCUGCGCCCCCCAGUUUGAGCUCCCAGAGCCCCUGACAGGGAAAAUCUGGACACUGGAUGACUUCGAGGCCAGCCCUGCUUUGCUGGUUAUGUUCAUAUGCAAUCACUGUCCGUUUGUAAAACAUCUGAAAAAUGAUAUUGCUAAGCUCACUUCAUUUUACAUCGAGAAAGGACUUGCUUCUAUCGCCAUAUCCUCAAAUUCAAUUGUCACAUAUCCCAAGGAUGGUCCCGAGUACAUGGCUGAGGAGGCAAAAUUGUUUAAGUACUCUUUUCCUUAUUUGUAUGAUGAGUCCCAAGAAGUUGCUAAGGCUUUUCGAGCAGUUUGCACACCAGAGUUCUACUUGUUCAAAAAGGAUGAGCAAAGGAAAUUUGAACUUUUUUACCACGGGCAGUUUGAUGAUUCAAGACCCAGUAACAAUGUGCCAGUCACUGGAAGGGAUUUAAGCCGUGCAAUCGACUGUGUACUUAGUGGCCAAGAAUUGCCUUUCUACCAAAAACGAAGUGUCGAGUGCAGCAUCAAGUGGCACAAGUGA
RNAcentral lists this ribosomal RNA (591 nucleotides) under Triticum aestivum (bread wheat). RNAcentral describes it as "partial small subunit ribosomal RNA". The record is from RNAcentral. Lineage: Eukaryota; Viridiplantae; Streptophyta; Magnoliopsida; Poales; Poaceae.